Non-coding RNA from Kogia breviceps (pygmy sperm whale), 1871 nucleotides. The record is from RefSeq and is a predicted model, not a curated record. NCBI's taxonomy places the organism in Eukaryota, Metazoa, Chordata, Mammalia, Artiodactyla, Physeteridae.
CCUCUACUUCACAAGAACUCUUGGUAAAAUUACAGAGUUCUGGUUCCAUCUACCUACAGAGAGUUCAUAUUCACUGGGGAUCUCUUUGGCCCAGCUUAAGCCAGAUUGGCUGGGCUCAGCUGGGUGGUUCUUCCCCGGAUCUCCCAUGCAGUGGUGGUUAGCAGUCUUCAGGGAUGCAGUGAUCCGAAAGUUCAGUUGGCCUGGACAUCCAAGAUGGCCCGCUCAACUGGCUGACAGUCAGAGGUGACUGUUCGCUGGGAGAUUCUGAAUCUGAACCAGACUGAGAUGGAGAUCCUGACCCAGACAUCUGCCAAUCUUCACUGCACUGGGAAGACUGAGAUGAGACAAAGUCCUUACCAUUAAAAUAACUUCUAACCUGUUAUGGAGAGACAGUCAUGUCAACCAAUAAAUACCACUCUGGGCAUAUUUAAGAUAACUGAACUAGGAGUAUGCGGAGCACUGAAGAUACAAACAAGUCAGGUACAGUAAUCGGGGAACAUUUAGAAGAAAGUGAAGAUGAACUAAUCCCUUAGGAAAGAAGAAUUAAGCAGAGGAGUAUCAUUUUAAUUGCUUACAAGCUUCUUGAGGGUACUGUUUAUUUUUCCCAGCAUACCUUACACAGGUGGGCACUCAGUAAAUACCUGAAAAGUAAAUGGACGGAUGAUUGAAUUUGGGAACUAUCAUGAGCCUAUAUUGUUAAUUAUAUCUUGAUUAGUCAUAAAGUAGCUAGUCAAAAUUCCUUGUUAAUAAAUCAAAAUUCUUAAGUGAAUGUAGGAAUCUUCCUUUCAUACUCUCCAGGCAAAAGUUGGCUGGAGAUAAAAGCUAACAGCCUGAGCCUAGACUACUCUAAAGGCAUAGGUUUAUUAUUAGAAUGUCUUCACCUUAGGUAUUAAAAGUAUAAAGUAUUUAUUUUAUUUAGUUGUUUAUAGCAGGAUUAAGAAUAGACAAAGAAUUAACAAGGAAUGUUUUACAUACUGCCAUAGAAUGAACUACAGGAUAUAGUUAGGUAAAAAGAGCAAGAUACAGAAGUGUUUAUAGUAUGCUUCCUUUGUAUAUGAAGGGGGAAAUGUUUACACAUAAUUGCUUAUGCUUCUGAAAAAAGCAAUAAUGGCAGCAUAAAACAACAAUUAAAUUAAAAAUGGUAACCUACAAAGGGAGGGAAGGGAAGAAGGAAGAGGGAACAAGGAUUGAAAUGAGUUGUCAGUUUCUGAAUUAUGUACAUGCUUUACAUAAUUUAUUUUAAAAGGAAAUCCUAACAAUUGAGAGAAAAUAUAUAUAGGUUCGGGGGGGGGGGGAUCUAUAUUCAGACAUAAAAUUCUGAGCGAAAAUAGGUAAAAAGCCUCUCCCUAAUGAAGUAAUUCUAUUUCAGCCCACAGCUGCAUAUGCUCUUUCUAGAAUAAAAAUUAAACAUGGCCUAACUUGAUAAGUUUUCAGUGUUUCUGUAACAAAGGUCAAACACCUAUGAGGUGCAGGAAUUUGUCUCUGCCAACCUAUCUCCAGCCACUUUCCCACUUAAACCCUUAGUUUUAGUGAUGGCAAACUACUUGUAAUUCUCUGUGAGUUUCUCUUCCCACUUUCUGCUCUUGCAUAAUUACUUCCCUUUUUUUCCCCACUAUAUAAUUUCUACUUGAGCCUCACUUCAUGGGUACUUCUCCAACAAAUCUCUCUUGACUCCAACAUUAAAUCACCUGAACGUUAAAUCAGGAAUACUUACCUCAGCAUUCCCACAGCAUCCUUACCUAUUACUAUCUUGCCCAUACACACAUUAUAUAAUAAUCACUGUAGUUUUCUGUUUUCUUUUGUUUUUUUGGUAUCCUAACCUUUGGUAUUCUACCAUAUGUUCCUGGAGUGCUGGAAUUCUUACUUGUUCU